Molecule: non-coding RNA, 1358 nt
Organism: Macaca mulatta (Rhesus monkey)
Lineage: Eukaryota; Metazoa; Chordata; Mammalia; Primates; Cercopithecidae
Source: RefSeq, a predicted model, not a curated record
CUGUAGUCCCAGCUACUCAGGAGGCUGAGGCAGGGAGUCGCUUGAACCUGGGAGGCGGAAGAUCCCUCCACGGCACUCCUGUCUCGGCAACAGAGUGGGACUCUGUCUCAAAAACAAAAAAAUCCAUCUAUGUUUUUUUCCCAGGUCUGUCUUGAUCCUUGACCCUUUUUCAAUUUAGUUAGCUCAGCAGUUCUGUGAUCACUGUCUCUGGAAGGGAUAUGGCAGCUGAAAGCAGAGAAAAGUGGAGUCUCCUGCGGUUCAGGACAGUGUGAACAGCAGGACUAGUGCAUAGACCACAGAUUUAAAAGAGAACAUGGCAACGAGUAGGACAGAGGCUUCCCCGCCCCAGCCUGCCACUCUCAGACUUGAAAAAGACUUCCCAAGCUGAAGGGAGAGGUUAGAGGGGAAGUGGAGGGAUCUAGAGGGCAGUUACAGUGGUGACGGGAUGUGCACUUGAACACAACUCCAGUGGAAAGGUAGGUAAUCCGGAGGGAGUCACCAAAUAGCUUUGGAUAGUUUCUGUCAUCUGGUGGAAAGGAAGCCUAAAUUUAAAAAUCACGUGUUAGAGAAAUGAAGAAAAAUACUGCUACUGUGCCCGUGGACUCUGUACUUCUCUUUGUACCACUAUGGGGCCUCGUGUAUGGGAAGUCAUGAAGUCUCGUGGCUCUGGAGUAGGAAGUUGCGCUAAACGGUGAAGGGCUCGACAGGAGGCUCCUGGUGCGUGCACCGGCCGGCGCUGAGCAGCCUUUUGGUCCUCAUGCUCCCAUUGGGUGCUCUUCUCUGGAAGCCAGCGGGACUGUAGAAGGAAGGAUCUCUUCUUUGAAGCCUUUGUGGAUCCCCACAGAAGAAUACGGUCAUUUCCUCCUUGGACUCCCAGAGAGAGAGAGAGCUGGUGAAGGAGAGCUGGUGGAAGACUGCUCUAGAUCCAGUGCGGGGCCUGGGAUCCCUACUGGUCAGCAGAAUGAGAAAUGAGUUAGAAACAGCUAGUCACAGAGUCAGGGAGAGCCACGGUAGACCCAUGUGAACAGGAAUUCAAGAUAAUGGUUGAAGCACCCUUCCUUGAGGAUGUGCCCCCAUGCCAGUUUCUCUUUUGUUGACUCUGCUGCAAACACAUCCCUUUUCUCUGGUAUAACAAAACACUACAACAGUGCAAGAUUCAGCCUCUCCAGCAUCUGCGUUGAUGGCAACAACAACAACAAGAAAAGUAAUAAUAAACAAAACCAACCAAAUAAACCAACCACUGGUCUGUUUUCCAUAAUUUCUCCAAAAUGGCUAUCAUUUUUAUGAGGCUAUCAAAGGUUUGUUUCAGGCAUUCUUCCUUAGGAUGUGGUGUUACAUAAAACAGUUCAUGCUUGGAA